UCCGUAGGUGGAUAAUUAAGUCAGGGGUGAAAGUCUGCAGCUCAACUGUAGAAUUGCCUUUGAUACUGGUUAUCUUGAAUUAUUAUGAAGUAGUUAGAAUAUGUAGUGUAGCGGUGAAAUGCAUAGAUAUUACAUAGAAUACCAAUUGCGAAGGCAGAUUACUAAUAAUAUAUUGACACUGAUGGACGAAAGCGUGGGGAGCGAACAGGAUUAGAUACCCUGGUAGUCC
Molecule: ribosomal RNA, 229 nt
Filed under: uncultured bacterium
Lineage: Bacteria
Description: partial 16S ribosomal RNA
Rfam family: Bacterial small subunit ribosomal RNA
Source: RNAcentral